GUGCUCGCUUCGGCAGCACAUGUACUAAAAUUGGAAAGAUAGAGAAGAUCAGCAUGGCCCCUGCGCAAGGAUGACACGCAAGUUCGUGAAGUGCUCCAUAUUUAA
This is a small nuclear RNA of Cavia porcellus (domestic guinea pig), 105 nucleotides long. NCBI's taxonomy places the organism in Eukaryota, Metazoa, Chordata, Mammalia, Rodentia, Caviidae. The record is from Ensembl.